AUUGAACGCUGGCGGCAUGCUUUACACAUGCAAGUCGAACGGCAGCGCGGGCUUCGGCCUGGCGGCGAGUGGCGAACGGGUGAGUAAUGCAUCGGAACGUGCCCAGCAGUGGGGGAUAGCCCGGCGAAAGCCGGAUUAAUACCGCAUACGACCAGAGGGUGAAAGCGGGGGACCGAAAGGCCUCGCGCGAUUGGAGCGGUCGAUGUCGGAUUAGCUAGUUGGUGGGGUAAAGGCUUACCAAGGCGACGAUCCUUAGCUGGUCUGAGAGGACGACCAGCCACGCUGGAACUGAGACACGGCCCAGACUCCUACGGGAGGCAGCAGUGGGGAAUUUUGGACAAUGGGGGCAACCCUGAUCCAGCCAUGCCGCGUGCGGGAAGAAGGCCUUCGGGUUGUAAACCGCUUUUGUUCGGGAAGAAAUCCUCUGGGCUAAUACCCCGGGGGGAUGACGGUACCGGAAGAAUAAGCACCGGCUAACUACGUG
RNAcentral lists this ribosomal RNA (484 nucleotides) under uncultured bacterium. RNAcentral's name for it is "partial 16S ribosomal RNA". It matches the Rfam family "Bacterial small subunit ribosomal RNA", at positions 29 to 507 of the family's 1533-position model. The record is from RNAcentral.